UCCCUCGUGGCUCAGAUGGUUGAGCGUCUGUCUACAAUGUGGGAGACCCAGGUUCGAUCCCUGGAUAGGGAA
Molecule: transfer RNA, 72 nt
Filed under: Ovis aries (sheep)
Lineage: Eukaryota; Metazoa; Chordata; Mammalia; Artiodactyla; Bovidae
Rfam family: tRNA
About the family: Transfer RNA (tRNA) molecules are approximately 80 nucleotides in length. Their secondary structure includes four short double-helical elements and three loops (D, anti-codon, and T loops). Further hydrogen bonds mediate the characteristic L-shaped molecular structure. tRNAs have two regions of fundamental functional importance: the anti-codon, which is responsible for specific mRNA codon recognition, and the 3' end, to which the tRNAs corresponding amino acid is attached (by aminoacyl-tRNA synthetases). tRNAs cope with the degeneracy of the genetic code in two manners: having more than one tRNA (with a specific anti-codon) for a particular amino acid; and 'wobble' base-pairing, i.e. permitting non-standard base-pairing at the 3rd anti-codon position.
Source: Rfam by way of RNAcentral